GUGACUCAACCUCUGCAGUUUCUCUUAUGCGAAGGUAUGCAUUGUUAAAGCGGAAGGGACCCAAAAGACCACAGUAUUUAAAGCCUAAAACCAGACACCCGUGAAACUACAUCCUCCCAGCUGCCUCAAGGCUGAGCACAAGAACCCGAAAAGCACCCAAUGCAAAUUCAUCGUGUGUUCUCCUGCAGAGACGCACUCUCUCCACCCUGGGCGGUAGGGACGGCGGGCAUUCGGUACUUCAGGCCCCUGCCACGGCUCUCAAACGGUGUUCCAGCACCUCACAGGCAGAUGCAGCAGGAAGGAGACAGGAAGGAGACAGCAGCAAGGGACCCACAGCCAGCAGACAGAAGAGAUGGAGCCCAGGCAGCCAGACCUGCUGGUGCACCUGGUCCAGAAACUAAGCUCACUGGGAAAAGCCUCCUGAAUCCCAAUCUCAGUAAAAAACAGACGCGUGGAUUCUAUCUCCUUUGCCUUGGAAAACACUGCUCUCCUUAAAUGGAACCAUGUCCCCCAAAGAUAAAAUUCUCUUUUCUCCCAAGAGAAACAAAGAAUGUUCAAGAAAUUUCAGUGCCUUUAUAGCAGCUCACUGCCUAUUCGCGGCACAUGCUGAGUUCUGAGGUAGACUGUCAUCAGCUAGGUGACUGAUUAGCCUUGUCACUUCUGCCUCUCAGUCCUCCAAAUAGCUUAGCCUGACCCCAACCUCCAAGUGGCAACAAAUUUCCCCUUCAGGAAUGCCAAAGACCUGGUAAAUGAGAGGUUACUUUUUCUGUUCAUUAAUAGAAGAGGGAAAUCCUGUCUUUAGCUGGAGCCACAGAAAAAUAUUUGGUGGGUCACCAGAAAACACAGAGAGGACAGUCGACGCCCUCAGAAGUCGUCCGACACACUGCGAGCAGCUGGCUCACAGGGAGCCCUGGGCAGAGCAGGGAGAGGACAAAGGUGCUCUUUCUCCAGCUCACUACAGAGAGGGGACGCGGGGAGGCCCCUGACCGUGUGACCGGGAGUCGGCACUCACUGGGAGGAAGUCUGGCUCUCACAGGAAGCUCCUGUGGUGACGAUGACAGAGGAUGGCUGCGACCCACCAGGUUGGCAGCUGGCGCCCUCAGGAACCAUCCGUGGUUCACCUCACUCUGACGACAGGCCGCGGCCUCAGCCUCCACUCUGAGGAGGAGCAGCCCCACCCCAGAUCUCCUAGGAGGGAAGAGGAGCUGAAGGUAGAAGCCAUCCACACCCAACAUGAAGCCGGCCACGCUGCAUGAUCAAGUUCCUAAGGGAAGGGAUUCGGGAUUCAAAGAGUUUUCAUGUUGGGUCUCACUAACUUACCCAGACCAACCUCGAACUGGCAAUCCUCCUGCCUCAGCCUCCAGAGUGGUCGGGAUUACAGGAAUACACCAAGUUACCUGGCUGAACCUUGGUCAACCUCACCUACUACUCACGAGUGAUGCUACUACCCAGGUGGCCGCUCCUCUCAGAGGCUGCAGAGUUUACAGUGCCAUGUCCUCAUGUAACAAGGACUGCUACCACUUCUCAGGUCUUUCUCUGGGCUGGCUAGAGGAGAAGGGCAGAGGCUGUCCUAGAAACACAGGUGAGUUUGAGCACCUAGAAAUGAGUGGCCGGAAAAGGGAGGGGGUGAGCCAAAGGGACCCAGAGAGUAGUAUCCACAGCGUGUUCCAAGGAUAAUGGAGAGACUGAGGGCUUGGAUGAGAAAACAGGUUUGCAGAAGAAAAAAUGGAAAGCAAGACAGGAAACACUAUUAUCUGCAUUUAUACAAAAGAAAAUAUGGAUCAUAUCACAUGCUGGAUUAAGUUACCAGAAAACCUGGAUAUCGUUUUCAUGUGACUUGGAGCAAGAAUACUAACUUUUCCUCCUUCUAUUUCCUUAUCUAUAAAACAGAGAUGAAGAUAUUAAGAAUACCAGGAGUGUAGCUCAGUGGUGGAGCCCUGGUUUACCACUCUCAAGGCCCUGCGUUUGGUCCCCAGAACUGGCGGGGGUGGGGAGGAAUAGUAGCAAUGAUGGCAUCAAUUUACAAGACAUCCCAAAUAAAUACUGGCCCAUCUCAUCCUCUACUCACCUUAGGGUUCACUUUCUCUUCGUAAUAGUUCCCAUGUCAAUUUAUUCCGUUUGUUCUGGUAGGAUUAGACAGUCCCCAGGGCAGCCCAUGGCCAUGGCCUUUAAAAGAUCAACUCAAGUUGACACCAGUGAAUCCCCCAAUGUCCAGGAGUGGGUGCCUGAGAGAGCAGGGCUGCUCCCAGGUAAGUCCACUCCACAAGGCCACGCCCUUCCUCCCAGGACAGGAUCCUGGAGCAGCUGGCCCCCACUCCGCCGAUGGCCAGCCAACUCCCCACUGUCCUCGAGGUGUCCCAGCCAGGAGGGCCUGGGCUUCCCAGGAAAGACGCAGCCAAAGCUCCUAUUCCCGACCUUGGCACUCGGCCAGCACCCCCACAGAAGGGAAGACUCCCCUCUGCUCUCUCCUUCAGAGGGUCUUCAAGGCACAUCAAGCCCUGGCCCCAGAGAAGGGCACAUCUGUGGCCCACAUUGUGGCGUCCACUUCCAGAUCAUUUCUGUGACUUUGGAAAAGCCACGCUUGCAUCUGGGAUUGUGAUUCUAAGUUGCUGGAGAAAGGCAGUUGUUACAUAUUGUUUAAAAUUUGUUUGAUAAAAGGGAAUUUCUUCGAAAACAUCAGACCAAGCGAGUGAUGUAAAUUUACUGUCUAUAAAUUUACAAUGUAGCAAGGGAAA
Long non-coding RNA from Marmota monax (woodchuck), 2735 nucleotides. RefSeq lists it as uncharacterized. Lineage: Eukaryota; Metazoa; Chordata; Mammalia; Rodentia; Sciuridae. The transcript is spliced from 4 exons. The record is from RefSeq and is a predicted model, not a curated record.